AACGAACGCUGGCGGCAUGCCUAACACAUGCAAGUCGAACGAGACCUUCGGGUCUAGUGGCGCACGGGUGCGUAACGCGUGGGAACCUGCCCUUAGGCUCGGAAUAACUCCCCGACAGGGGUGCUAAUACCGGAUAAUGUCUUCGGACCAAAGAUUUAUCGCCUUUGGAUGGGCCCGCGUUGGUUUAGCUAGUUGGUAGGGUAAAAGCCUACCAAGGCGACGAUCCAUAGCUGGUCUGAGAGGAUGAUCAGCCACACUGGGACUGAGACGCAGCCCAGACUCCUACGGGAGGCAGCAGUGGGGAAUAUUGGACAAUGGGCGAAAGCCUGAUCCAGCAAUGCCGCGUGAGUGAUGAAGGCCUUAGGGUUGUAAAGCUCUUUUACCCGGGAUGAUAAUGACAGUACCGGGAGAAUAAGCUCCGGCUAACUCCGUG
Molecule: ribosomal RNA, 433 nt
Filed under: uncultured bacterium
Lineage: Bacteria
Description: partial 16S ribosomal RNA
Rfam family: Bacterial small subunit ribosomal RNA
Source: RNAcentral